AUUCCAGCUCCAAUAGCGUAUAUUAAAGUUGUCGCAGUUAAAAAGCUCGUAGUUGGAUUUCCGGCGUGAGGGAUCAGUCUGACUUCUAGUCAGUACUUGGUCCUCUCAUGCCGUCCUUGAAUGGUGCAUCCUGGCAUUAAGUUGUCGGGGUGAGAGCCGUUCAUCGUUUACUGUGAGAAAAUUAGAGUGUUCAAAGCAGGCUUAUGCCGUUGAAUAUAUUAGCAUGGAAUAAUAAGAUAGGACUUUGGUACUAUUUUGUUGGUUUGAGAACCAAGGUAAUGAUCAAUAGGGACAGUUGGGGGUAUUCGUAUUCAGUUGUCAGAGGUGAAAUUCUUAGAUUUCCGGAAGACGAACUACUGCGAAAGCAUUUACCAAGGAUGUUUUCAUUA
RNAcentral lists this ribosomal RNA (389 nucleotides) under Chaetoceros sp. Its description in RNAcentral is "partial small subunit ribosomal RNA". It matches the Rfam family "Eukaryotic small subunit ribosomal RNA", at positions 582 to 975 of the family's 1831-position model. The record is from RNAcentral. Lineage: Eukaryota; Bacillariophyta; Thalassiosirophyceae; Chaetocerotales; Chaetocerotaceae.